UAGGGAAUCUUCCGCAAUGGGCGAAAGCUUGACGGAGCAACGCCGCGUGAGUGAUGAAGGUCUUCGGAUCGUAAAACUCUGUUAUUAGGGAAGAACAAAUGUGUAAGUAACUAUGCACGUCUUGACGGUACCUAAUCAGAAAGCCACGGCUAACUACGUGCCAGCAGCCGCGGUAAUACGUAGGUGGCAAGCGUUAUCCGGAAUUAUUGGGCGUAAAGCGCGCGUAGGCGGUUUUUUAAGUCUGAUGUGAAAGCCCACGGCUCAACCGUGGAGGGUCAUUGGAAACUGGAAAACUUGAAUGCAGAAGAGGAAAGUGGAAUUCCAUGUGUAGCGGUGAAAUGCGCAGAGAUAUGGAGGAACACCAGUGGCGAAGGCGACUUUCUGGUCUGUAACUGACGCUGAUGUGCGAAAGCGUGGGGAUCAAACAGG
This 429-nucleotide ribosomal RNA is filed under the name Actinomycetes bacterium. RNAcentral's name for it is "Actinobacteria bacterium partial 16S ribosomal RNA". It matches the Rfam family "Bacterial small subunit ribosomal RNA", at positions 355 to 776 of the family's 1533-position model. The record is from RNAcentral. Lineage: Bacteria; Bacillati; Actinomycetota; Actinomycetes.